Picea glauca (white spruce) is the source of this 125-nucleotide non-coding RNA. The record is from Rfam. NCBI's taxonomy places the organism in Eukaryota, Viridiplantae, Streptophyta, Pinopsida, Pinales, Pinaceae.
AUGUACAUUCCUACAAUAUAGCUUCCUAAUGCACCGGAUCCCAUUAGAACUCUAUAGUUAAGCGCGCUCAGGAUAGAGUAGUAUCAGGAUGGGUGACUGCCCUGGAAGUCCUAGUGUUUUACAUG